Molecule: long non-coding RNA, 895 nt
Organism: Rosa rugosa (rugosa rose)
Lineage: Eukaryota; Viridiplantae; Streptophyta; Magnoliopsida; Rosales; Rosaceae
Exons: 3
Source: RefSeq, a predicted model, not a curated record
UUUCAGAAACCUAUAUUUUCUCCCUAAUUCUCUCCCGAGCCCAGAUUUGUUCCUCUCUCUUCCACCGGCCAUAUCUCCCUCCACAGACCUCCGAUCGACUUGAUUCCAAAAGUAUUUUCAUUCGCCUUGAAGUCAGUUAAAACUUCCUAGAAGACAUCAAAGUGAGAAAAGAACCAUGGAAGGUGCUAGGAGGCCGAGAAGCUGCACAGCUCGAGCUGGAAUUCGCCCGAUGCUGCUCUUCCUUCACCGGCCGAUAUCUCUCUCAUCCAACCUCGAAUCGAGUUGAUUCCAAAAGGGAUUUUGCUGGGCCUGAGCUAUAUUACAACUUUGUAGAAGACAUCGAGGGGAAAUAACCAACGUGGUAGCCGCUACAAGUCGAAGAACACGGUGCAGUCGAGCUGGAAAUCACCUCCUUUCCCCACCGUCGUUCUCCCUCCUCCGGCCACCUUUUGCCGUGAUUCUUGAGAGGAUUCUGUACUUCUGAGGAUGUAGAUCAUUUCCCCUAAGGUGGAUUGCAUCGAUUUCAUCUGUGGAGAUCGAAUUGGAACGAAUUCAAAACUAGGGUUCUUCGGGUUUCAAACCUUAUAAGGUGAUUGACGGUUUGAGUUAGUGGACGAUUGUGGAUCGUAUUUUGAGCGGAAUUGAAGACGCAGCGGGAUUAUCGAGCGGGUAAUCCUACAGGACAGGAGAACCAGGACGGUGAUCGUGCGGUUAGAGCAAUUGUUAGAGUUUUACAGCAAUUGUACGUUGUGAGGUGUGUUAUGCUCAUUUGAGCUUUACAAUAUUGCUUGUGAGAGUGAAUUGUAAUAAUGAACUCGAAGUUUCGAGAUUUGGAUUUUGUAAUUGUAAUUAUUCAUGUUUCGGAUUUGAAUUUAUUAUUCAAAAUUCGGGGCGU